Molecule: ribosomal RNA, 467 nt
Filed under: uncultured bacterium
Lineage: Bacteria
Description: partial 16S ribosomal RNA
Rfam family: Bacterial small subunit ribosomal RNA
Source: RNAcentral
GACGAACGCUGGCGGCGUGCUUAACACAUGCAAGUCGAACGGAAAGGCCCUGCUUUUGUGGGGUGCUCGAGUGGCGAACGGGUGAGUAACACGUGAGUAACCUGCCCUUGACUUUGGGAUAACUUCAGGAAACUGGGGCUAAUACCGGAUAGGAGCUCCUGCUGCAUGGUGGGGGUUGGAAAGUUUCGGCGGUUGGGGAUGGACUCGCGGCUUAUCAGCUUGUUGGUGGGGUAGUGGCUUACCAAGGCUUUGACGGGUAGCCGGCCUGAGAGGGUGACCGGCCACAUUGGGAAUGAGAUACGGCCCAGACUCCUACGGGAGGCAACAGUGGGGAAUAUUGCACAAUGGGCGGAAGCCUGAUGCAGCAACGCCGCGUGCGGGAUGACGGCCUUCGGGUUGUAAACCGCUUUCGCCUGUGACGAAGCGUGAGUGACGGGAAUGGGUAAAGAAGCACCGGCUAACUACGU